Molecule: transfer RNA, 83 nt
Filed under: Metabacillus litoralis
Lineage: Bacteria; Bacillati; Bacillota; Bacilli; Caryophanales; Bacillaceae
Description: Bacillus litoralis tRNA-Ile
Rfam family: tRNA
About the family: Transfer RNA (tRNA) molecules are approximately 80 nucleotides in length. Their secondary structure includes four short double-helical elements and three loops (D, anti-codon, and T loops).
Source: RNAcentral
GGACCUAUAGCGAGCUGGUUAGAGCGCACAGCGCACGCCUGAUAAGUGUGAGGUCGAUGAUUCGAGUCCAUUUAGGAUCACCU